AUGGCGGGCAAGCUGCAACGCACGCCAUUGCGGUGUAAAACCGAGCAUCCGGCAUGGCGCGGCGCAGACUCGCAGACGGUGUGCGCGGUGCGGGGUGCAGACGUCAAGGGCGGCGUCGGGCCGUUUGGGCUGUGGGUGCUUGCGUCCGACGAGCUCAAGGAGAGGACAUCCGUCUUCUUCGGGGUGUUCAAGGACGGGGACGACAACAAGCACGUCGUGCUCAUGUGCAACGAUGCCUCCAAGUCGUCCUACGCCGACCACCUCUACAAGCCAAGCUUCGCCGGCUUCAUCGAUGUGGACAUCGUCAAAGAUAGGCGGCAAGAUACCUCUUAG
This 333-nucleotide ribosomal RNA is filed under the name Triticum aestivum (bread wheat). RNAcentral's name for it is "partial small subunit ribosomal RNA". Lineage: Eukaryota; Viridiplantae; Streptophyta; Magnoliopsida; Poales; Poaceae. The record is from RNAcentral.